GACGAACGCUGGCGGCGUGCCUAAUACAUGCAAGUAGAACGCUGAAGGAGGAGCUUUCUUCUCUGGAUGAGUUGCGAACGGGUGAGUAACGCGUAGGUAACCUGCCUUGUAGCGGGGGAUAACUAUUGGAAACGAUAGCUAAUACCGCAUAACAGUAGAUAUCGCAUGAUAUCUACUUGAAAGGUGCAAUUGCAUCACUACCAGAUGGACCUGCGUUGUAUUAGCUAGUUGGUGAGGUAACGGCUCACCAAGGCGACGAUACAUAGCCGACCUGAGAGGGUGAUCGGCCACACUGGGACUGAGACACGGCCCAGACUCCUACGGGAGGCAGCAGUAGGGAAUCUUCGGCAAUGGACGGAAGUCUGACCGAGAAACGCCGCGUGAGUGAAGAAGGUUUUCGGAUCGUAAAGCUCUGUUGUAAGAGAAGAACGAGUGUGAGAGUGGAAAGUUCACACUGUGACGGUAUCUUACCAGAAAGGGACGGCUAACUACGUG
Molecule: ribosomal RNA, 495 nt
Filed under: uncultured bacterium
Lineage: Bacteria
Description: partial 16S ribosomal RNA
Rfam family: Bacterial small subunit ribosomal RNA
Source: RNAcentral